Molecule: transfer RNA, 74 nt
Filed under: Sphaerodactylus townsendi
Lineage: Eukaryota; Metazoa; Chordata; Lepidosauria; Squamata; Sphaerodactylidae
Description: tRNA-Pro
Source: RNAcentral
GGUCAGCAUUGGCCUAGUGGUUAGAGUGUUGGACUAGGACUUGGGAGAGCCAAGUUCAAACCCUUCUGCCGCCA